UAAAAAGUUAAUAAUUUAUCUCUGAUUUUUUUUUGUUAAAACAUACGUAGAAACUAAAUAAAUCAUUUUUUUAUAUAAGAAAUUUGUAAAUAUAACAAUAAUUUUCCGUUUCAUAAAAAUUUUACUUACAAUUUUGAUCAAUUUUUUUCCAGCUUUCCUUCCUACAGAACAUACGCUUAAUGUCAUUAGGGUAUAGGAUAUAUACUUAUUUUAGUUGGUUUAGUAUUUACUUUAUAAUGAACGUCAAUAAUUCAAAUUUUAAAUAAUCUCCAUCAAGCUAAAAGAAAAGUUUAAUAAAAUUGCUUAUGAUUAA
This 313-nucleotide unclassified non-coding RNA is filed under the name Hevea brasiliensis (rubber tree). Lineage: Eukaryota; Viridiplantae; Streptophyta; Magnoliopsida; Malpighiales; Euphorbiaceae. The record is from RNAcentral.